GCGUGUCUGCUGGGCAUGACGUCUCCCACCACCUUGACACCCGCCUCCAUUGCAGUCGGCACAUCACCCGCCUCCACAGCAGCCGCCACUGGUGCCACCGCACCUGUCUCCAACUCUAGUGCCGGACAGCUCGUGUCAUGCUAGCUCCUGUAGUUCUGCCUCCACUGGCUGCACCUGCAUGCACGCGUGCACACAUGUGAACACACCCUGCACUCCUGCCGCAAGGUGCCAAUGCCAAUGCAAGGCUGCCGGCCAAGAACAGAGUGCUUGGUAGUGCACCGGACCUAUCUCAUGAAGCGGGCCUGUAUGUGUUUCGGUGUGUAUGCCCACUGGUGAUGCGGACACUCACCGUUGCUAAACACAAUGUUGGAGGUGUGGCGGCAGUCCAGCCAGCCGACCUGGGGGAAGGGGCGUGUGGCAGCAGGCGGGUAAGUGACACGGACUAGAGGUACCAGGAAGUGAUAUAGACAUACAUACCAUACAGCACUAGUAAGGGAGGCAGCAAACAGUCAUCUCUUGAAGGCUGGGGCUCUGACUAGCGAACACAACGUGAGUGAAGGGGUUGCGAACCAUCUUGCGCCAGGGUUGCAGCCGCUGGGGACCUGCAUCUACCUGCAUCUACGGCAUCUCCUCAAACAUAUUUCCCAUGGACUCACCCUCGAAUGGCUCCUAGAAUCGUCCUCAAGAGCAUGGCGGAGGAUCCUGCAAGUACACAUACACACACACGGGGUUGUGACAUAUGGCCGGGCGGGCAAUCCAGGCUGCAGGUUUAAAGCCUCCCGUCUUCAUUUUAACCUGUGGACUAACCUGUGGACUUCCGUGAGGCGCGACAACGGUCGUGCUGAACGUGAUGUUGAAUGUAUGGCGUUUUUUACCAUUAAAACAUUAAAAGCACAGCUGAGCAUUUAUGAGGCACAGUUGUAAGUCUCAUGUGAUAGCUGGCUUCAGUUGACGUCUCAGCAGCAGCGUCGCCGAGCUGGUCAACGAGCGGUCAGCAGCGCGAGAACUCGCGUCCCAAGCCAACAAAGCAGCCUCAGCCACCAGCUUUUGUUCUACUGACAUUAGAAGUAGCCUUAUUUUGUGUUUACAAAGCAAAAUAGCGACUGGCGAGGGGCGGAAUGAGGGAGAGCGAGCAAACGCUCUAUAAUGAAAUGUAGUAUAUAAAUUAUAUGUAUACCGGUAUAUCAGUUAUCACAGCAUAUGUAUAUAUUAAACUGCUUGAAAAUGAAGGCCCGCAGGAACCCCAUGCAGAGGCUAGCGUUUUUCCCUCAGACCCCAACGGAAGGCCUGCGUAAUUUACUGGGAAAGAUGUCAGCUUUUAACUUAGUGUACUAGGAAGGAUGUAAGAAGGAGAAAACGGCCUCAACCCGGUGAUGUAAAGUUCUCUACACUCCUGGACGGCUUUGGGUGUUGGGGUUGAUUGAUUUUUAUAGGCAUUAGUCAAUAUACACAGUGUGGCCAAGUUCAAAUACACAACUUGACGAGUUGACAAACAUGGGGUUUGCGUCCCCCGGCCGGGGGACGCUCGACCACUUUCUCUGAGACACCCGAAAAGCCCGAAUUUCUGGGACAAGUACUCUAAAUGCAUAACAGACUAUUGAUAUCAACCGCUAAAGCCAUGUGCCAAGUGACAGCAGUGACCUGGGGGGUUCAUUGCUGCCUCGGUUGACACAGCCAGCUGCUCAGGUGCAUUCCUAUGCUCAGGAAGCAUACACUACAUGCAACUACAUUAAUAAAGUAAGAUUACAGCUCAGGAAGCGCGGCGGUCUGAGCUCGGCCGUCAGCGACGGCCGGAGGGUUACUGGGGGGUACGCUGGGGGGUUCAGGGGCUCGGCAGGGGCGAGGCCGCCCCAAGGAUCCCAUAGGCCUCGCCCCAGACUUCUCGCCCCUAUGUUCCCACUUAACAAACACUACAUUUGGGAGCUCUUACAUGGCCUUCUGGGCUGGCGAGGGUACAGGGGCCAGGUGAGUGCGGGGGGGGGGGGGGGGUUAUGGGGGUUGGUGAGGUUAGGGGCCGCCGAAACACUGACGUAGGGAGGAGGCGCGGCGCUGCUAAAUGCCAUCAAUGCAUGCUGCACAGUUGUGGUUUGGCAGACUACGUGGAUUGGGAAGCAUCAAGGGGAGACGGCAAGAUCAGCAGUGGGAUGAUCUUGGAUGGCAUGGGGUGAAGAAGAAGACGCACACUUUGCUCCCAAUGUUGCUGUCAGGGUUGCUGUUUGUAAACAUCUGUGUGCAUUACCAUCCAUGCGGGGGGGCAGCUGGAGGAGUACAGGUAUUACAAGUCCUCCCACGGUGUGUGUGAGGGAAGAGGGCAGGCCCCUACCUUAAGCAUAAGGCACGCACCAUCGUGGCUGGGCAGCGAGUGAUGAGUUACCUGCGGGUGACCAAUAGGGAGCCGCUGACAGUUCCGCCCCAAUGUGGUCUCCUAGCAUAACACCCCCAGCCAUGGCCGAAGGCACGGCCGUGGCCAGAGCUGCACGCAUCUACGCUGGGGGCAGGCCCUGGCCAGGCUGGGCGGGCCUGGGUGGCAGCUGGGCGGGCCUGGGCGGCGGCUGGGCGGCCCUGGGCGGCCCUGGGCGGCAGCUGGGCGGGCCUGGGCGGCAUCUGGGUGGGGGCUGAGCGAGCCUGGGCAGGAGCCACAUACCAAUGGGUUACC
This 2656-nucleotide long non-coding RNA is filed under the name Chlamydomonas reinhardtii. RNAcentral's name for it is "long non-coding RNA (CREI_LNC001029)". The record is from RNAcentral. Lineage: Eukaryota; Viridiplantae; Chlorophyta; Chlorophyceae; Chlamydomonadales; Chlamydomonadaceae.